AACGCUAGCUACAGGCUUAACACAUGCAAGUCGAGGGGCAGCAUGGUCUUAGCUUGCUAAGGCCGAUGGCGACCGGCGCACGGGUGAGUAACACGUAUCCAACCUGCCGUCUACUCUUGGACAGCCUUCUGAAAGGAAGAUUAAUACAAGAUGGCAUCAUGAGUCCGCAUGUUCACAUGAUUAAAGGUAUUCCGGUAGACGAUGGGGAUGCAUUCCAUUAGAUAGUAGGCGGGGUAACGGCCCACCUAGUCUUCGAUGGAUAGGGGUUCUGAGAGGAAGGUCCCCCACAUUGGAACUGAGACACGGUCCAAACUCCUACGGGAGGCAGCAGUGAGGAAUAUUGGUCAAUGGGCGAGAGCCUGAACCAGCCAAGUAGCGUGAAGGAUGACUGCCCUAUGGGUUGUAAACUUCUUUUAUAAAGGAAUAAAGUCGGGUAUGGAUACCCGUUUGCAUGUACUUUAUGAAUAAGGAUCGGCUAACUCCGUGCCAGCAGCCGCGGUAAUACGGAGGAUCCGAGCGUUAUCCGGAUUUAUUGGGUUUAAAGGGAGCGUAGAUGGAUGUUUAAGUCAGUUGUGAAAGUUUGCGGCUCAACCGUAAAAUUGCAGUUGAUACUGGAUAUCUUGAGUGCAGUUGAGGCAGGCGGAAUUCGUGGUGUAGCGGUGAAAUGCUUAGAUAUCACGAAGAACUCCGAUUG
This 694-nucleotide ribosomal RNA is filed under the name uncultured bacterium. Its description in RNAcentral is "bacterial SSU rRNA". It matches the Rfam family "Bacterial small subunit ribosomal RNA", at positions 32 to 715 of the family's 1533-position model. The record is from RNAcentral.